CGUAGGGCGGAGCGUUGUCCGGAAUCAUUGGGCGUAAAGAGCGUGUAGGCGGCCCGGUAAGUCCGCUGUGAAAACCCGGGGCUCAACCCCGGGCGUGCAGUGGAAACUGCCGGGCUAGAGGGCGGCAGAGGCGAGUGGAAUUCCCGGUGUAGCGGUGAAAUGCGCAGAUAUCGGGAGGAACACCGGUAGCGAAGGCGGCUCGCUGGGCCGUUCCUGACGCUGAGACGCGAAAGCUAGGGGAGCGAACAGGAUU
RNAcentral lists this ribosomal RNA (253 nucleotides) under uncultured bacterium. Its description in RNAcentral is "partial 16S ribosomal RNA". It matches the Rfam family "Bacterial small subunit ribosomal RNA", at positions 526 to 779 of the family's 1533-position model. The record is from RNAcentral.